This 950-nucleotide long non-coding RNA is filed under the name Phasianus colchicus (ring-necked pheasant). RNAcentral describes it as "lncRNA (ENSPCLG00000004182.1)". The record is from RNAcentral. Lineage: Eukaryota; Metazoa; Chordata; Aves; Galliformes; Phasianidae.
CUGAAGUCUCCAUGGGCACUGGGUAACAAGAGAACUCACUGCACCUGAAACCUUGGUGAUAAGAAAAGGCAAAUGCUGUAGGCACAGCUCUUCUCCUCUAUUCUCCAAACUCUUUCUUUCCUAUAGCUCUCUGUUGUCCUCACUUGCAGGCUGACGGCCUGAUCCUAUUCUCUGUCAUUUGUGUUUCUGUUGCUCGCCUUGUUGCAAGGCUGCAAAUAUCUCUUUUGCUACUUCUUGCUGUUCACUGGGGGUAUUGGGCCUCUUCCAGCUGUUUUUCUUUUCUUUUUUUUUUUUUUUUUUUAAUUGGAACAAGUUUGCCUGAGGCUAAAAAAAAAGGAAAGGGAGGAAGAGGGAGCAAGUGGGGAGAAAGGUGUAGCUUGUAAGGACAUAGUACAUCUGGGAGGGAAAAAGUUUCCCUGCAAACCAGGGCAGAGCAAAUGAGGAGGGAAAAUGGAAAGGAGCUAAAGACAGAGUAGAAAGUGGUUUUCUGGAUACUUACUUGGAGUUCAUCAGAAGCUGCCCCGUUUGAACAGAAGGUUAAACAGCGGAUGGAGCACGCCUGUCCCCAGCAUGCCCUCUGCAAUGGUGGAAAGAAGGCUGAAACACUGGUUGGCCUUAGAGCAUGGAGUGGCUUCCAGCAAGACAUUGCUGCUGAGUCCCAAGGCAGCCAUUCUGAGAUCCUUCAGGCUGCUGGAACUGAAGUCCGGAUGACUCCUGACCUUGAGCAGCACUUUCAAACCUCUCCUAAUGAGGACCUAAGACAAUGGACUUAUGAUCUUAUGUUCUAAGAUAACGGGCUUACAAAGGUAGAUGUCAGCUGUGCACGUAAAACUGUGUAGCUCAUUCUCUCUGACCAUCCUCCCACUGUUCUUUAUGAAAGCUAAAUACUGAGGUAACAGCAAAACCUGUAGGAUUUCAAUUUUGGAGAUGGGUUGGAUACUAUGCUUGGG